Molecule: long non-coding RNA, 304 nt
Filed under: Salvia miltiorrhiza (redroot sage)
Lineage: Eukaryota; Viridiplantae; Streptophyta; Magnoliopsida; Lamiales; Lamiaceae
Description: long non-coding RNA (SMIL_LNC002515)
Source: RNAcentral
CGCGAGCGGCGGCAAGAAAGUCGCUGAGAUCCAGAACAAAAGCCUCGAAGAGCACCGCCUCAGGGACUCUGGAUCGGCGGCGGCGUUUUCGGCGCUGCUAGGGCGGUGACGACGAGAUCAGGCGGCGGCGCUUCGCCGGAGGAGAGAAAGAAGGAAGGAGGGAGGGAGGGAGCGUAGAGAGAGAACACAGUAGGUAGAAAAGAGGUGAGGAGCUCCGGGCACAUAGGGAAGAUGCGGCGGAGGUCGGCGACGGUGAUGCGUGGAGAAAGAGAGAGAAGAGAAUGAGAGAGGAGAAAGAUGCGUG